This 2928-nucleotide ribosomal RNA is filed under the name Bacillus velezensis AS43.3. Its description in RNAcentral is "bacterial LSU rRNA". It matches the Rfam family "Bacterial large subunit ribosomal RNA". Lineage: Bacteria; Bacillati; Bacillota; Bacilli; Caryophanales; Bacillaceae. The record is from RNAcentral.
CGGUUAAGUUAGAAAGGGCGCACGGUGGAUGCCUUGGCACUAGGAGCCGAUGAAGGACGGGACGAACACCGAUAUGCUUCGGGGAGCUGUAAGCAAGCUUUGAUCCGGAGAUUUCCGAAUGGGGAAACCCACCACUCGUAAUGGAGUGGUAUCCAUAUCUGAAUACAUAGGAUAUGAGAAGGCAGACCCGGGGAACUGAAACAUCUAAGUACCCGGAGGAAGAGAAAGCAAAUGCGAUUCCCUGAGUAGCGGCGAGCGAAACGGGACCAGCCCAAACCAAGAGGCUUGCCUCUUGGGGUUGUAGGACACUCUGUACGGAGUUACAAAGGAACGAGGUAGAUGAAGAGGUCUGGAAAGGCCCGCCAUAGAAGGUAACAGCCCUGUAGUCAAAACUUCGUUCUCUCCUGAGUGGAUCCUGAGUACGGCGGAACACGUGAAAUUCCGUCGGAAUCCGGGAGGACCAUCUCCCAAGGCUAAAUACUCCCUAGUGACCGAUAGUGAACCAGUACCGUGAGGGAAAGGUGAAAAGCACCCCGGAAGGGGAGUGAAAGAGAUCCUGAAACCGUGUGCCUACAAGUAGUCAGAGCCCGUUAACGGGUGAUGGCGUGCCUUUUGUAGAAUGAACCGGCGAGUUACGAUCCCGUGCAAGGUUAAGCAGAAGAUGCGGAGCCGCAGCGAAAGCGAGUCUGAAUAGGGCGAAUUGAGUACGUGGUCGUAGACCCGAAACCAGGUGAUCUACCAUGUCCAGGGUGAAGUUCAGGUAACACUGAAUGGAGGCCCGAACCCACGCACGUUGAAAAGUGCGGGGAUGAGGUGUGGGUAGGGGUGAAAUGCCAAUCGAACCUGGAGAUAGCUGGUUCUCUCCGAAAUAGCUUUAGGGCUAGCCUCAAGGUAAGAGUCUCGGAGGUAGAGCACUGAUUGGACUAGGGGCCCUACCGGGUUACCGAAUUCAGUCAAACUCCGAAUGCCGAUGACUUAUCCUUGGGAGUCAGACUGCGAGUGAUAAGAUCCGUAGUCGAAAGGGAAACAGCCCAGACCGCCAGCUAAGGUCCCAAAGUAUACGUUAAGUGGAAAAGGAUGUGGAGUUGCUUAGACAACCAGGAUGUUGGCUUAGAAGCAGCCACCAUUUAAAGAGUGCGUAAUAGCUCACUGGUCGAGUGACUCUGCGCCGAAAAUGUACCGGGGCUAAACGUAUCACCGAAGCUGCGGACUGUUCUUCGAACAGUGGUAGGAGAGCGUUCUAAGGGCUGUGAAGCAAGACCGGAAGGACUUGUGGAGCGCUUAGAAGUGAGAAUGCCGGUAUGAGUAGCGAAAGAGGGGUGAGAAUCCCCUCCACCGAAUGCCUAAGGUUUCCUGAGGAAGGCUCGUCCGCUCAGGGUUAGUCGGGACCUAAGCCGAGGCCGAAAGGCGUAGGCGAUGGAUAACAGGUUGAUAUUCCUGUACCACCUCCUCACCAUUUGAGCAAUGGGGGGACGCAGGAGGAUAGGGUAAGCGCGGUAUUGGAUAUCCGCGUCCAAGCAGUUAGGCUGGGAAAUAGGCAAAUCCGUUUCCCGUGAAGGCUGAGCUGUGAUGGCGAGCGAAUUAUAGUAGCGAAGUUCCUGAUUCCACACUGCCAAGAAAAGCCUCUAGCGAGGUGAGAGGUGCCCGUACCGCAAACCGACACAGGUAGGCGAGGAGAGAAUCCUAAGGUGAUCGAGAGAACUCUCGUUAAGGAACUCGGCAAAAUGACCCCGUAACUUCGGGAGAAGGGGUGCUCUGUUAGGGUGCAAGCCCGAGAGAGCCGCAGUGAAUAGGCCCAGGCGACUGUUUAGCAAAAACACAGGUCUCUGCGAAGCCGUAAGGCGAAGUAUAGGGGCUGACGCCUGCCCGGUGCUGGAAGGUUAAGAGGAGCGCUUAGCGUAAGCGAAGGUGCGAAUUGAAGCCCCAGUAAACGGCGGCCGUAACUAUAACGGUCCUAAGGUAGCGAAAUUCCUUGUCGGGUAAGUUCCGACCCGCACGAAAGGCGCAACGAUCUGGCACUGUCUCAACGAGAGACUCGGUGAAAUUAUAGUACCUGUGAAGAUGCAGGUUACCCGCGACAGGACGGAAAGACCCCGUGGAGCUUUACUGCAGCCUGAUAUUGAAUGUUGGUACAGCUUGUACAGGAUAGGUAGGAGCCUUGGAAACCGGAGCGCCAGCUUCGGUGGAGGCAUCGGUGGGAUACUACCCUGGCUGUAUUGACCUUCUAACCCGCCGCCCUUAUCGGGCGGGGAGACAGUGUCAGGUGGGCAGUUUGACUGGGGCGGUCGCCUCCUAAAAGGUAACGGAGGCGCCCAAAGGUUCCCUCAGAAUGGUUGGAAAUCAUUCGCAGAGUGUAAAGGCACAAGGGAGCUUGACUGCGAGACCUACAAGUCGAGCAGGGACGAAAGUCGGGCUUAGUGAUCCGGUGGUUCCGCAUGGAAGGGCCAUCGCUCAACGGAUAAAAGCUACCCCGGGGAUAACAGGCUUAUCUCCCCCAAGAGUCCACAUCGACGGGGAGGUUUGGCACCUCGAUGUCGGCUCAUCGCAUCCUGGGGCUGUAGUCGGUCCCAAGGGUUGGGCUGUUCGCCCAUUAAAGCGGUACGCGAGCUGGGUUCAGAACGUCGUGAGACAGUUCGGUCCCUAUCCGUCGCGGGCGCAGGAAAUUUGAGAGGAGCUGUCCUUAGUACGAGAGGACCGGGAUGGACGCACCGCUGGUGUACCAGUUGUUCUGCCAAGGGCAUCGCUGGGUAGCUAUGUGCGGACGGGAUAAGUGCUGAAAGCAUCUAAGCAUGAAGCCCCCCUCAAGAUGAGAUUUCCCAUUCCGCAAGGAAGUAAGAUCCCUGAAAGAUGAUCAGGUUGAUAGGUCUGAGGUGGAAGUGUGGCGACACAUGGAGCUGACAGAUACUAAUCGAUCGAGGACUUAACCAA